GAGUGUAUAGCUCAAGUGGUAGAGUGCAUGUUUAGCAUGCAUGAGGUCCUGGGUUCAAUCCCCAGUACCUUCA
Molecule: transfer RNA, 73 nt
Filed under: Camelus bactrianus (Bactrian camel)
Lineage: Eukaryota; Metazoa; Chordata; Mammalia; Artiodactyla; Camelidae
Also listed under: 2 other names
Rfam family: tRNA
About the family: Transfer RNA (tRNA) molecules are approximately 80 nucleotides in length. Their secondary structure includes four short double-helical elements and three loops (D, anti-codon, and T loops).
Source: Rfam by way of RNAcentral